GCUUUGUUGGCUCAGUCGGUAGAGCGUCAGUCUCAUAAUCUGAAGGUCGUGAGUUCGAACCUCACACAGAGCA
Molecule: transfer RNA, 73 nt
Filed under: Smittium megazygosporum
Lineage: Eukaryota; Fungi; Kickxellomycota; Harpellomycetes; Harpellales; Legeriomycetaceae
Rfam family: tRNA
About the family: Transfer RNA (tRNA) molecules are approximately 80 nucleotides in length.
Source: Rfam by way of RNAcentral